AAAUUAAACUAUCUUCUGA
This 19-nucleotide transfer RNA is filed under the name Anaecypris hispanica. Its description in RNAcentral is "partial transfer RNA-Pro". The record is from RNAcentral. Lineage: Eukaryota; Metazoa; Chordata; Actinopteri; Cypriniformes; Leuciscidae.